ACGUAAUUGUUAUAACACAGUGGGGUAACCUGCCUGUAAGACUGGGAUAACUCCGCGGAAACCGGGGCUAAUACCGGAUGCUUGUUUGAACCGCAUGGUUCAGACAUAAAAGGUGGCUUCGGCUACCACUUACAGAUGGACCCGCGGCGCAUUAGCUAGUUGGUGAGGUAACGGCUCACCAAGGCGACGAUGCGUAGCCGACCUGAGAGGGUGAUCGGCCACACUGGGACUGAGACACGGCCCAGACUCCUACGGGAGGCAGCAGUAGGGAAUCUUCCGCAAUGGACGAAAGUCUGACGGAGCAACGCCGCGUGAGUGAUGAAGGUUUUCGGAUCGUAAAGCUCUGUUGUUAGGGAAGAACAAGUGCCGUUCAAAUAGGGCGGCACCUUGACGGUACCUAACCAGAAAGCCACGGCUAACUACGUGCCAGCAGCCGCGGUAAUACGUAGGUGGCAAGCGUUGUCCGGAAUUAUUGGGCGUAAAGGGCUCGCAGGCGGUUUCUUAAGUCUGAUGUGAAAGCCCCCGGCUCACCGGGGAGGGUCAUUGGAAACUGGGGAACUUGAGUGCAGAAGAGGAGAGUGGAAUUCCACGUGUAGCGGUGAAAUGCGUAGAGAUGUGGAGGAACACCAGUGGCGAAGGCGGACUCUCUGGUCUGUAACUGACGCUGAGGAGCGAAAGCGUGGGGAGCGAACAGGAUUAGAUACCCUGGUAGUCCACGCCGUAAACGAUGAGUGCUAAGUGUUAGGGGGUUUCCGCCCCCUUAGUGCUGCAGCUAACGCAUUAAGCACUCCGCUGGGGGAGUAGGGUCGCAGAUGAACUAAGGAAUUGAGGGGGGCCCGGCACAAGCGGUGAGCCAUUGUGGGUUUACGAAGCAACGCGAAGAACCUUACCAGGUCUUGACAUCCUCUGACAAUCCUAGAGAUAGGACGUCCCCUUCGGGGGCAGAGUGACAGGUGGUGCAUGGUUGUCGUCAGCUCGUGUCGUGAGAUGUUGGGUUAAGUCCCGCAACGAGCGCAACCCUUGAUCUUAGUUGCCAGCAUUCAGUUGGGCACUCUAAGGUGACUGCCGGUGACAAACCGGAGGAAGGUGGGGAUGACGUCAAAUCAUCAUGCCCCUUAUGACCUGGGCUACACACGUGCUACAAUGGGCAGAACAAAGGGCAGCGAAACCGCGAGGUUAAGCCAAUCCCACAAAUCUGUUCUCAGUUCGGAUCGCAGUCUGCAACUCGACUGCGUGAAGCUGGAAUCGCUAGUAAUCGCGGAUCAGCAUGCCGCGGUGAAUACGUUCCCGGGCCUUGUACACACCGCCUUGUCACACCACGAGAGUUUGUAACACCCGAAGUCGGUAAGGUAACCUCCAGGGAGCACGGGCGCUCCGGCCCGA
This 1383-nucleotide ribosomal RNA is filed under the name Bacillus amyloliquefaciens. RNAcentral's name for it is "bacterial SSU rRNA". It matches the Rfam family "Bacterial small subunit ribosomal RNA", at positions 98 to 1467 of the family's 1533-position model. Lineage: Bacteria; Bacillati; Bacillota; Bacilli; Caryophanales; Bacillaceae. The record is from RNAcentral.